GAUGAACGCUGGCGGCGUGCCUAAUACAUGCAAGUCGAGCGAACGGACGAGAAGCUUGCUUCUCUGAUGUUAGCGGCGGACGGGUGAGUAACACGUGGAUAACCUACCUAUAAGACUGGGAUAACUUCGGGAAACCGGAGCUAAUACCGGAUAAUAUUUUGAACCGCAUGGUUCAAAAGUGAAAGACGGUCUUGCUGUCACUUAUAGAUGGAUCCGCGCUGCAUUAGCUAGUUGGUAAGGUAACGGCUUACCAAGGCAACGAUGCAUAGCCGACCUGAGAGGGUGAUCGGCCACACUGGAACUGAGACACGGUCCAGACUCCUACGGGAGGCAGCAGUAGGGAAUCUUCCGCAAUGGGCGAAAGCCUGACGGAGCAACGCCGCGUGAGUGAUGAAGGUCUUCGGAUCGUAAAACUCUGUUAUUAGGGAAGAACAGAUGUGUAAAUAACUGUGCACAUCUUGACGGUACCUAAUCAGAAAGCCACGGCUAACUACGUG
Molecule: ribosomal RNA, 497 nt
Filed under: uncultured bacterium
Lineage: Bacteria
Description: partial 16S ribosomal RNA
Rfam family: Bacterial small subunit ribosomal RNA
Source: RNAcentral